RNAcentral lists this ribosomal RNA (439 nucleotides) under uncultured bacterium. RNAcentral's name for it is "bacterial SSU rRNA". It matches the Rfam family "Bacterial small subunit ribosomal RNA", at positions 959 to 1397 of the family's 1533-position model. The record is from RNAcentral.
ACGCGUGGAACCUUACCAGGUCUUGACAUCCUCUGACAAUCCUGGAGACAGGACGUUCCCCUUCGGGGGACAGAGUGACAGGUGGUGCAUGGUUGUCGUCAGCUCGUGUCGUGAGAUGUUGGGUUAAGUCCCGCAACGAGCGCAACCCUUGAUCUUAGUUGCCAGCAUUUAGUUGGGCACUCUAAGGUGGCUGCCGGUGACAAACCGGAGGAAGGUGGGGAUGACGUCAAAUCAUCAUGCCCCUUAUGACCUGGGCUACACACGUGCUACAAUGGAUGGUACAAAGGGCAGCAAAGCGGUGACGCCUAGCAAAUCCCAUAAAACCAUUCUCAGUUCGGAUUGUAGGCUGCAACUCGCCUACAUGAAGCUGGAAUCGCUAGUAAUCGCGGAUCAGCAUGCCGCGGUGAAUACGUUCCCGGGCCUUGCACACACCGCCCGU